UGCGUAGGCGGGCUAAUAAGUCAGUGGUGAAAUCUCUCGGCUCAACCGGGAAACUGCCAUUGAUACUGUUAGUCUUGAGUUCGGUUGAGGUAGGCGGAAUGUGUAAUGUAGCGGUGAAAUGCUUAGAUAUUACACAGAACACCAAUUGCGUAGGCAGCUUACUAGACCGACACUGACGCUGAGGCACGAAAGCGUGGGGAGCGAACAGGAUUAGAUACUGGUAGUCC
This 227-nucleotide ribosomal RNA is filed under the name uncultured bacterium. RNAcentral describes it as "partial 16S ribosomal RNA". It matches the Rfam family "Bacterial small subunit ribosomal RNA", at positions 568 to 796 of the family's 1533-position model. The record is from RNAcentral.